Monopterus albus (swamp eel) is the source of this 420-nucleotide long non-coding RNA. RefSeq lists it as uncharacterized. The transcript has 4 exons. The record is from RefSeq and is a predicted model, not a curated record. Lineage: Eukaryota; Metazoa; Chordata; Actinopteri; Synbranchiformes; Synbranchidae.
AAUGCUGAUCCAGGUCAGUUACAAGGAACAGCAAAAAUAUGUAAAGGUGGAUGAUGAUGAAGGAAGAUUGGACUUUCUGCAGUUCCAUGAAAAAGUCAUUGAAAGGUUUUGCCUGCCACCAGAUGCAGAAGUUAUAUACAAAGAUUCAACAGGGACUGAAGUUGAUGGAGACAUUUUCAGUGAUGUAGUAAAACAAGGCAAUGUGGUGUUGACUGUUUUUUCAAAUGAUGACGCGUUGUCAGACAUGACUCAGACAUCUGAAUCAAGUUACAGCUCAGGUGCCUCAACUGUAAUCCUAGAUGAGAUCCUGAACAAACGACAAAGAUUUGACACAACGUCUGAUGCGAUGUUUGCAAAACAGUUGGUUGAGGGUGUGCUAAAGUCUAAGUCUGGUGGUGAAGAGGUACUACAGCAGUAUCA